CCUACGGGAGGCUGCAGUGGGGAAUAUUGGACAAUGGGGGGAACCCUGAUCCAGCCAUGCCGCGUGUGUGAAGAAGGCCCUCGGGUUGUAAAGCACUUUCAGUGAGGAAGAACGCCUGGUGGUUAAUACCCAUCAGGAAAGACAUCACUCACAGAAGAAGCACCGGCUAACUCCGUGCCAGCAGCCGCGGUAAUACGGAGGGUGCGAGCGUUAAUCGGAAUUACUGGGCGUAAAGCGCGCGUAGGUGGCUUGAUAAGCCGGUUGUGAAAGCCCCGGGCUCAACCUGGGAACGGCAUCCGGAACUGUCAAGCUAGUGUGCAGGAGAGGAAGGUAGAAUUCCCGGUGUAGCGGUGAAAUGCGUAGAGAUCGGGAGGAAUACCAGUGGCGAAGGCGGCCUUCUGGACUGACACUGACACUGAGGUGCGAAAGCGUGGGUAGCAAACAGGAUUAGAUACCCGUGUAGUC
This 465-nucleotide ribosomal RNA is filed under the name Vreelandella stevensii. Its description in RNAcentral is "partial 16S ribosomal RNA". It matches the Rfam family "Bacterial small subunit ribosomal RNA", at positions 338 to 795 of the family's 1533-position model. Lineage: Bacteria; Pseudomonadati; Pseudomonadota; Gammaproteobacteria; Oceanospirillales; Halomonadaceae. The record is from RNAcentral.